UACGUAGGGGGCAAGCGUUGUCCGGAAUUAUUGGGCGUAAAGCGUCCGCAGGCGGCUUGGCAAGUCGGAUGUGAAAUCUCCAGGCUCAACCUGGAGCGGCCAUUCGAUACUGCCAUGGCUUGAGUCUGGUAGGGGAGUGCGGAAUUCCUGGUGUAGCGGUGAAAUGCGCAGAUAUCAGGAGGAACACCGGUGGCGAAGGCGGCACUCUGGGCCAGUACUGACGCUCAUGGACGAAAGCGUGGGUAGCAAACAGG
RNAcentral lists this unclassified non-coding RNA (254 nucleotides) under uncultured Acidimicrobiia bacterium. Its description in RNAcentral is "contains 16S-23S intergenic spacer region". It matches the Rfam family "Bacterial small subunit ribosomal RNA", at positions 524 to 776 of the family's 1533-position model. Lineage: Bacteria; Bacillati; Actinomycetota; Acidimicrobiia. The record is from RNAcentral.